GGUCCAUCCACGUUCCCUCUAGGCAAAGCCUGUGGCGUAGCAACAGCGCCACCACAGUUGUCGCUGGCGCCGAUCUUUGUUGUCCAUUUUCUUCUUGUGCUCAACCUCUAUCACGUCUCAGCUCAUUUUAGAAGACGCGCCGGAUCGACACGGCGUAGACAAUGCUGCGAUCCGAAGUGCUCGACGCCGAGGUGGCGAAGAGUGUGGAGGCCUAUUCGACCGCGGUGACACCGUUUGCGGAGCGGCGAAGUGGUCUGUACUUGACCAAGUUCGAAGUUGCCCGCAUUAUCGGCGAGCGCGCCAAGCAGAUCGCCAGCGGCGCCGCCAUGUCGCUUCCCGGUACCGCUUCUGGUCUGGAUUCUGUUGAGACGGCGGAGCGCUGCACCAACCCGCGUUCUCUUGCAGUAGACCCGGUCAUGAUGGCCAAGUACGACCUCUUGCAGCGGAAGAUUCGAAUGCUGGUGCGUCGCGUAUGGCCAGAUGGCGCCGUCGAAACGAUUCCUGUGAAUGAGCUCAUGGUGGACGUGACUAUGCUCGAUCUGCAGUAUUAGCCGACAGCAACCUGCUUCCAUGAAUGCUUUGUGUGUGCGUGCGUUGCGCAGAAGUGUUGUCUGCUGCCGUCUAUUGUGGUGUGAUGGCGGUUGCGUGUCUGUGUUUGGGGGGAGGGUAGCGGCGAAAGACAGAGAGGAGAAUGGCCAAAGAGGCGCACAGGCUGUCGUGUCAUGCAGCCUGCAAUCAACCUACUCCUAUCUCGCUCUCUGCAGGAUCCAUGCGAUUUGGUGCCGUCUACCCGCUCUCCUCUACCCCUGGCUCUCCGUUGGUGCUGGUGCGUAAAGUUAAUUGCCGGCUAAGGCACCGUACUCUCUCCUCUCCUUGCUUGCGUUCUCUUUUUUUUUCGCAAAUCCGGGUCCACCCCUCCACACG
This 924-nucleotide unclassified non-coding RNA is filed under the name Leishmania donovani. RNAcentral describes it as "gene:LdHU3.25.0200(CDS-product:DNA-directed_RNA_p olymerase_I_subunit_putative)". Lineage: Eukaryota; Euglenozoa; Kinetoplastea; Trypanosomatida; Trypanosomatidae. The record is from RNAcentral.